AGUCACUGACAUUAGAUACCCGUGUAGUCCAGGGUGUAAACGCUGCAGACUUGGUGUUGGGCCCUUUGGGGCAUUCAGUGCCGGAGAGAAGUUGUUAAGUCUGCUACUUGGGAGUACGUCCGCAAGGAUGAAACUUAAAGGAAUUGGCGGGGGAGCACCGCAACGGGAGGAGCGUGCGGUUUAAUUGGAUUCAACACCGUAAACUCACCAGGGAAGACUGUUACAUGAAGGCCGAGAUGAAGACUCUGCUAGAUUUUCAG
RNAcentral lists this ribosomal RNA (260 nucleotides) under uncultured archaeon. RNAcentral's name for it is "partial 16S ribosomal RNA". It matches the Rfam family "Archaeal small subunit ribosomal RNA", at positions 717 to 982 of the family's 1478-position model. The record is from RNAcentral.